Molecule: long non-coding RNA, 582 nt
Organism: Rattus norvegicus (Norway rat)
Lineage: Eukaryota; Metazoa; Chordata; Mammalia; Rodentia; Muridae
Source: RefSeq, a predicted model, not a curated record
AGGAAGAAGGGAGGAGGAGGGGCAAAGGAGGAAGAUGGAGAUGACAGAGGAAGACGAUUCCGAUCCAGGUGGUUUAGGUCAAUUUUAUCUUGUCUAGACAGGGUUUCUCUGUGCAGUCCUGGCCAUCCUGGAAGUCACUCAGUAGACCUGGUCAGCUUCAAACUCAUAAAGAUACACCAUGGCCCAGUGGAGAUACCCUUUUUAGAAUGAACCGGGAGACAGAGCCCUUGACUAUGAGGAGUUUUCCAGAGAGGUUUAACUGAGGAGAGUGGACCCACCCUGAAUAUGGGCAGCAACAUCCCUUGGGCUGGCAUCCUGGAGCAGACAGAGGGAAAGAGGAAAAGGAAAGCUGAACAUUAACAUUUGUCUCUCUGCUUCGUGGGCACAGACGCAAUGUGACCAGCAGCCACAUGCUCCUGCUGCCUUGCCCUGCCCACUGUGAUGGACUGAGGAUCUGACACCCUAGAGCCAAGACAAGCCCUUCCUUCCAUUGACUUUUUCAGUAUUUUGUGACAGCAAUGGGAAAGAUCAACACAGCUAAGGAGUAAUGGAUUUUAUUGAGAAAAUGUGCGGUAUCUGGCC